UACGUAGGGCGCAAGCGUUAUCCGGAAUUAUUGGGUGCGUAAAGAGCUCGUAGGCGGUUUGUCGCGUCUGCCGUGAAAGUCCGGGGCUCAACUCCGGAUCUGCAGUGGGUACGGGCAGACUAGAGUGUGGUAGGGGGAGACUGGAAUUCCUGGUGUAGCGGUGGAAUGCGCAGAUAUCAGGAGGAACACCGAUGGCGAAGGCAGGUCUCUGGGCCAUUACUGACACUGAGAAGCGAAAAGCAUGGGGAGCGAACAGG
RNAcentral lists this ribosomal RNA (257 nucleotides) under uncultured bacterium. RNAcentral's name for it is "partial 16S ribosomal RNA". It matches the Rfam family "Bacterial small subunit ribosomal RNA", at positions 524 to 776 of the family's 1533-position model. The record is from RNAcentral.